Molecule: ribosomal RNA, 253 nt
Filed under: uncultured bacterium
Lineage: Bacteria
Description: partial 16S ribosomal RNA
Rfam family: Bacterial small subunit ribosomal RNA
Source: RNAcentral
UACGUAGGGACCGAGCGUUGUCCGGAAUCAUUGGGCGUAAAGAGCGUGUAGGCGGCCUUUUAAGUCCUGCGUGAAAUCCUGCGGCUCAACCGCAGACGGUCGUGGGAAACUGGAAGGCUAGAGUGCGGGAGAGGAGAGUGGAAUUCCUGGUGUAGCGGUGAAAUGCGUAGAUAUCAGGAGGAACACCUGUGGUGUAGACGGCUUUCUGGACCAUAGCUGACGCUGAGGCACGAAAGCGUGGGUAGCAAACAGG